Molecule: transfer RNA, 72 nt
Filed under: Ovis aries (sheep)
Lineage: Eukaryota; Metazoa; Chordata; Mammalia; Artiodactyla; Bovidae
Rfam family: tRNA
About the family: Transfer RNA (tRNA) molecules are approximately 80 nucleotides in length.
Source: Rfam by way of RNAcentral
UUCCUGGUGGCUCAGAGGGCACAGCAUCUGCCUGCAAUGCUGGAGACCGGGGUUCGAUCCCUGGCUUGGGAA